GGCACUGCAAGAUGGAAAUGUGCGUGUGUGGAAACCUGGCACCUUGGAUCCCUCCCCUCUGUCUGAGCAGGCUGGCUGGAACUCACAGAAGCUUUUUUCCCUUGGAAAAUAUUCCUCAGUGGAGCCCCAGUGUUUGACUGACACAACAAUAAUAUUUCCUCUGUGUGGGGCAGCCAGGUGAGAGAGGCUCUGCUGGCACCGCCGGGGAUGCGCUGACACCGGCUCCUGGCCCCGGCUGGAGGCUUCGAAGCACACAAUGCUUUCCACAUGGGAUUGCACCUGAAGAUUUGCACCUUUUCCAGCCUGGAAGGAGCAGCCAGAAUGACACUGCCUUGCUGAGCAGCCAGUACCCAGAUCCCCAAAAAUAUGGAAUAACCCCUUCAAGGCUCUUCUGUGCUCCCCUCGGGACAAGAAAACACUGCUUGGUUCAGCUUUGCAUCAGCACAACUCUUCCUUCAGCACAUCCUUUGGGACAGCUGCUGUCAUUACCCUCUGCUCCAGAGCUGAGCUGCACCUACUGA
RNAcentral lists this long non-coding RNA (521 nucleotides) under Parus major (Great Tit). Its description in RNAcentral is "lncRNA (ENSPMJG00000009985.1)". The record is from RNAcentral. Lineage: Eukaryota; Metazoa; Chordata; Aves; Passeriformes; Paridae.